ACUUAAAUUGAAGAGUUUGAUCAUGGCUCAGAUUGAACGCUGGCGGCAGGCCUAACACAUGCAAGUCGAACGGUAACAGGAAGCAGCUUGCUGCUUUGCUGACGAGUGGCGGACGGGUGAGUAAUGUCUGGGAAACUGCCUGAUGGAGGGGGAUAACUACUGGAAACGGUGGCUAAUACCGCAUAACGUCGCAAGACCAAAGAGGGGGACCUUCGGGCCUCUUGCCAUCAGAUGUGCCCAGAUGGGAUUAGCUUGUUGGUGAGGUAACGGCUCACCAAGGCGACGAUCCCUAGCUGGUCUGAGAGGAUGACCAGCCACACUGGAACUGAGACACGGUCCAGACUCCUACGGGAGGCAGCAGUGGGGAAUAUUGCACAAUGGGCGCAAGCCUGAUGCAGCCAUGCCGCGUGUAUGAAGAAGGCCUUCGGGUUGUAAAGUACUUUCAGCGGGGAGGAAGGUGUUGCGGUUAAUAACCGCAGCAAUUGACGUUACCCGCAGAAGAAGCACCGGCUAACUCCGUGCCAGCAGCCGCGGUAAUACGGAGGGUGCAAGCGUUAAUCGGAAUUACUGGGCGUAAAGCGCACGCAGGCGGUCUGUCAAGUCGGAUGUGAAAUCCCCGGGCUCAACCUGGGAACUGCAUUCGAAACUGGCAGGCUUGAGUCUUGUAGAGGGGGGUAGAAUUCCAGGUGUAGCGGUGAAAUGCGUAGAGAUCUGGAGGAAUACCGGUGGCGAAGGCGGCCCCCUGGACAAAGACUGACGCUCAGGUGCGAAAGCGUGGGGAGCAAACAGGAUUAGAUACCCUGGUAGUCCACGCCGUAAACGAUGUCUACUUGGAGGUUGUGCCCUUGAGGCGUGGCUUCCGGAGCUAACGCGUUAAGUAGACCGCCUGGGGAGUACGGCCGCAAGGUUAAAACUCAAAUGAAUUGACGGGGGCCCGCACAAGCGGUGGAGCAUGUGGUUUAAUUCGAUGCAACGCGAAGAACCUUACCUGGUCUUGACAUCCACGGAAGGUCUCAGAGAUGAGACUGUGCCUUCGGGAACCGUGAGACAGGUGCUGCAUGGCUGUCGUCAGCUCGUGUUGUGAAAUGUUGGGUUAAGUCCCGCAACGAGCGCAACCCUUAUCCUUUGUUGCCAGCGGUUAGGCCGGGAACUCAAAGGAGACUGCCAGUGAUAAACUGGAGGAAGGUGGGGAUGACGUCAAGUCAUCAUGGCCCUUACGACCAGGGCUACACACGUGCUACAAUGGCGCAUACAAAGAGAAGCGACCUCGCGAGAGCAAGCGGACCUCAUAAAGUGCGUCGUAGUCCGGAUUGGAGUCUGCAACUCGACUCCAUGAAGUCGGAAUCGCUAGUAAUCGUGGAUCAGAAUGCCACGGUGAAUACGUUCCCGGGCCUUGUACACACCGCCCGUCACACCAUGGGAGUGGGUUGCAAAAGAAGUAGGUAGCUUAACCUUCGGGAGGGCGCUUACCACUUUGUGAUUCAUGACUGGGGUGAAGUCGUAACAAGGUAACCGUAGGGGAACCUGCGGUUGGAUCACCUCCUUACCUGAAAGAA
This 1556-nucleotide ribosomal RNA is filed under the name Salmonella enterica subsp. salamae serovar 57:z29:z42. RNAcentral describes it as "bacterial SSU rRNA". It matches the Rfam family "Bacterial small subunit ribosomal RNA". Lineage: Bacteria; Pseudomonadati; Pseudomonadota; Gammaproteobacteria; Enterobacterales; Enterobacteriaceae. The record is from RNAcentral.